AGAGUUUGAUCCUGGCUCAGAAUCAACGCUGGCGGCGUGCCUAACACAUGCAAGUCGCACGAGAAAGGGGAGCAAUCCCUGAGUAAAGUGGCGCACGGGUGAGUAACACGUGAAUAAUCUACCUCCGAGUGGGGAAUAACUGAGAGAAAUCUUAGCUAAUACCGCAUAAUACCCACGGGUCAAAGCAGCAAUGCGCUUGGAGAGGAGUUCGCGGCCGAUUAGCUAGUUGGCGGGGUAAUGGCCCACCAAGGCGAUGAUCGGUAUCCGGCCUGAGAGGGCGCACGGACACACUGGAACUGAAACACGGUCCAGACUCCUACGGGAGGCAGCAGUGGGGAAUUUUGCGCAAUGGGGGAAACCCUGACGCAGCAACGCCGCGUGGAGGAUGAAGCCCCUUGGGGUGUAAACUCCUUUCGAUCGGGAAGAUAAUGACGGUACCGAUAUAAGAAGCCCCGGCUAACUUCGUGCCAGCAGCCGCGGUAAUACGAGGGGGGCAAGCGUUGUUCGGAAUUAUUGGGCGUAAAGGGUGCGUAGGCGGUUUGACAAGUCUGAUGUGAAAUCUAUGGGCUCAACCCAUAGUCUGCAUCGGAAACUGUCGGGCUUGAGUAUGGGAGAGGUGAGUGGAAUUUCCGGUGUAGCGGUGAAAUGCGUAGAUAUCGGAAGGAACACCUGUGGCGAAAGCGGCUCACUGGACCAUUACUGACGCUGAGGCACGAAAGCUAGGGGAGCAAACAGGAUUAGAUACCCUAGUAGUCC
This 756-nucleotide ribosomal RNA is filed under the name uncultured bacterium. RNAcentral's name for it is "bacterial SSU rRNA". It matches the Rfam family "Bacterial small subunit ribosomal RNA", at positions 8 to 796 of the family's 1533-position model. The record is from RNAcentral.